AUAAUGGGUCAGCGACUUAUAUUCUGUAGCAAGGUUAACCGAAUAGGGGAGCCGAAGGGAAACCGAGUCUUAACUGGGCGUUAAGUUGCAGGGUAUAGACCCGAAACCCGGUGAUCUAGCCAUGGGCAGGUUGAAGGUUGGGUAACACUAACUGGAGGACCGAACCGACUAAUGUUGAAAAAUUAGCGGAUGACUUGUGGCUGGGGGUGAAAGGCCAAUCAAACCGGGAGAUAGCUGGUUCUCCCCGAAAGCUAUUUAGGUAGCGCCUCGUGAAUUCAUCUCCGGGGGUAGAGCACUGUUUCGGCAAGGGGGUCAUCCCGACUUACCAACCCGAUGCAAACUGCGAAUACCGGAGAAUGUUAUCACGGGAGACACACGGCGGGUGCUAACGUCCGUCGUGAAGAGGGAAACAACCCAGACCGCCAGCUAAGGUCCCAAAGUCAUGGUUAAGUGGGAAACGAUGUGGGAAGGCCCAGACAGCCAGGAUGUUGGCUUAGAAGCAGCCAUCAUUUAAAGAAAGCGUAAUAGCUCACUGGUCGAGUCGGCCUGCGCGGAAGAUGUAACGGGGCUAAACCAUGCACCGAAGCUGCGGCAGCGACGCUGAUGCGUUGUUGGGUAGGGGAGCGUUCUGUAAGCCUGUGAAGGUGUGCUGUGAGGCAUGCUGGAGGUAUCAGAAGUGCGAAUGCUGACAUAAGUAACGAUAAAGCGGGUGAAAAGCCCGCUCGCCGGAAGACCAAGGGUUCCUGUCCAACGUUAAUCGGGGCAGGGUGAGUCGACCCCUAAGGCGAGGCCGAAAGGCGUAGUCGAUGGGAAACAGGUUAAUAUUCCUGUACUUGGUGUUACUGCGAAGGGGGGACGGAGAAGGCUAUGUUGGCCGGGCGACGGUUGUCCCGGUUUAAGCGUGUAGGCUGGUUUUCCAGGCAAAUCCGGAAAAUCAAGGCUGAGGCGUGAUGACGAGGCACUACGGUGCUGAAGCAACAAAUGCCCUGCUUCCAGGAAAAGCCUCUAAGCAUCAGGUAACAUCAAAUCGUACCCCAAACCGACACAGGUGGUCAGGUAGAGAAUACCAAGGCGCUUGAGAGAACUCGGGUGAAGGAACUAGGCAAAAUGGUGCCGUAACUUCGGGAGAAGGCACGCUGAUAUGUAGGUGAAGUCCCUCGCGGAUGGAGCUGAAAUCAGUCGAAGAUACCAGCUGGCUGCAACUGUUUAUUAAAAACACAGCACUGUGCAAACACGAAAGUGGACGUAUACGGUGUGACGCCUGCCCGGUGCCGGAAGGUUAAUUGAUGGGGUCAGCGCAAGCGAAGCUCUUGAUCGAAGCCCCGGUAAA
This 1330-nucleotide ribosomal RNA is filed under the name Escherichia coli. Its description in RNAcentral is "partial 23S ribosomal RNA". It matches the Rfam family "Bacterial large subunit ribosomal RNA", at positions 612 to 1927 of the family's 2925-position model. Lineage: Bacteria; Pseudomonadati; Pseudomonadota; Gammaproteobacteria; Enterobacterales; Enterobacteriaceae. The record is from RNAcentral.